CGGGACACGUGGUAUCCUGUCUGAAUAUGGGGGGACCAUCCUCCAAGGCUAAAUACUCCUGACUGACCGAUAGUGAACCAGUACCGUGAGGGAAAGGCGAAAAGAACCCCGGCGAGGGGAGUGAAAAAGAACCUGAAACCGUGUACGUACAAGCAGUGGGAGCACGCUUAGGCGUGUGACUGCGUACCUUUUGUAUAAUGGGUCAGCGACUUAUAUUCUGUAGCAAGGUUAACCGAAUAGGGGAGCCGAAGGGAAACCGAGUCUUAACUGGGCGUUAAGUUGCAGGGUAUAGACCCGAAACCCGGUGAUCUAGCCAUGGGCAGGUUGAAGGUUGGGUAACACUAACUGGAGGACCGAACCGACUAAUGUUGAAAAAUUAGCGGAUGACUUGUGGCUGGGGGUGAAAGGCCAAUCAAACCGGGAGAUAGCUGGUUCUCCCCGAAAGCUAUUUAGGUAGCGCCUCGUGAAUUCAUCUCCGGGGGUAGAGCACUGUUUCGGCAAGGGGGUCAUCCCGACUUACCAACCCGAUGCAAACUGCGAAUACCGGAGAAUGUUAUCACGGGAGACACACGGCGGGUGCUAACGUCCGUCGUGAAGAGGGAAACAACCCAGACCGCCAGCUAAGGUCCCAAAGUCAUGGUUAAGUGGGAAACGAUGUGGGAAGGCCCAGACAGCCAGGAUGUUGGCUUAGAAGCAGCCAUCAUUUAAAGAAAGCGUAAUAGCUCACUGGUCGAGUCGGCCUGCGCGGAAGAUGUAACGGGGCUAAACCAUGCACCGAAGCUGCGGCAGCGACGCUGAUGCGUUGUUGGGUAGGGGAGCGUUCUGUAAGCCUGUGAAGGUGUGCUGUGAGGCAUGCUGGAGGUAUCAGAAGUGCGAAUGCUGACAUAAGUAACGAUAAAGCGGGUGAAAAGCCCGCUCGCCGGAAGACCAAGGGUUCCUGUCCAACGUUAAUCGGGGCAGGGUGAGUCGACCCCUAAGGCGAGGCCGAAAGGCGUAGUCGAUGGGAAACAGGUUAAUAUUCCUGUACUUGGUGUUACUGCGAAGGGGGGACGGAGAAGGCUAUGUUGGCCGGGCGACGGUUGUCCCGGUUUAAGCGUGUAGGCUGGUUUUCCAGGCAAAUCCGGAAAAUCAAGGCUGAGGCGUGAUGACGAGGCACUACGGUGCUGAAGCAACAAAUGCCCUGCUUCCAGGAAAAGCCUCUAAGCAUCAGGUAACAUCAAAUCGUACCCCAAACCGACACAGGUGGUCAGGUAGAGAAUACCAAGGCGCUUGAGAGAACUCGGGUGAAGGAACUAGGCAAAAUGGUGCCGUAACUUCGGGAGAAGGCACGCUGAUAUGUAGGUGAAG
This 1347-nucleotide ribosomal RNA is filed under the name Escherichia coli. RNAcentral's name for it is "partial 23S ribosomal RNA". It matches the Rfam family "Bacterial large subunit ribosomal RNA", at positions 418 to 1767 of the family's 2925-position model. Lineage: Bacteria; Pseudomonadati; Pseudomonadota; Gammaproteobacteria; Enterobacterales; Enterobacteriaceae. The record is from RNAcentral.